Molecule: ribosomal RNA, 400 nt
Filed under: uncultured bacterium
Lineage: Bacteria
Description: bacterial SSU rRNA
Rfam family: Bacterial small subunit ribosomal RNA
Source: RNAcentral
UGAGGAAUUUUCCGCAAUGGGUGAAAGCCUGACGGAGCAAUACCGCGUGAAGGAUGAAAGCCUUAGGGUUGUAAACUUCUUUUCUCAUUGAAGAAUUUUUGACGGUAUUUGAGGAAAAAGCAUCGACUAAUUAUGUGCCAGCAGUCGCGGUAAUACAUAAGAUGCAAGCGUUAUUCGGAAUUAUUGGGCGUAAAGAGUUUGUAGGUGGUUUAGUGUGUCUAAUGUCAAAUUUCAGAGCUUAACUUUGAGCUGGCACUAGAAACUAUUAGACUAAGAGUAUGAUAGGGGCAAAGGGAAUUUCCAGUGUAGCGGUGAAAUGCGUAGAUAUUGGAAAGAACACCAAUGGCGGAAGCACUUUGCUAGGUUAAUACUGACACUCAGAAACGAAAGCCAAGGGAGC